This 253-nucleotide ribosomal RNA is filed under the name uncultured bacterium. RNAcentral describes it as "partial 16S ribosomal RNA". It matches the Rfam family "Bacterial small subunit ribosomal RNA", at positions 524 to 776 of the family's 1533-position model. The record is from RNAcentral.
UACAGAGGGUGCGAGCGUUGUCCGGAAUCACUGGGCGUAAAGGGCGCGUAGGUGGCGCGGCAAGCGUGCGGUGAAAGCUCGGGGCUCAACCCCGAGUCGGCCGUGCGAACUGCUGGGCUUGAGCACUGUAGAGGCAGGCGGAAUUCCGGGUGUAGCGGUGGAAUGCGUAGAGAUCCGGAAGAACACCGGUGGCGAAGGCGGCCUGCUGGGCAGUAGCUGACACUGAGGCGCGACAGCGUGGGGAGCAAACAGG